This 472-nucleotide long non-coding RNA is filed under the name Rattus norvegicus (Norway rat). RNAcentral's name for it is "long non-coding RNA NONRATT000832". Lineage: Eukaryota; Metazoa; Chordata; Mammalia; Rodentia; Muridae. The record is from RNAcentral.
GCGAUAAGCGCUCUCACGUCCCCCUCCCGGGCGGGGCUCGGCAAAUACCCCCGCCCCGCCCCGCCGCGCCCCGCAGGAGCCUCCUCCUCCCGCCCUCGCGGCGCCUGUGCCUGGGUCCCGGCGACCCUCCUCAGGGCCACCGAAAGGUCUGGGGGCUUGGGGCGGGGGAGGGGGGGCCUGUCCGAGUCCGUGGGAGCCUCUCUGGCCCCGCAGUCCCAGCAGCAAACUGCGCUUGGUCGGACGGAUGCCCGCGCGGAGGUGUUUUGCCUGCUGGUACAUCUGUGCAUCACGUGUGAGUGCCUGAUGCCCUCCCAAGCCAGAAGAGGGCAUCGGAUCUCUGGGAAGUGGAGCUGUACAGACUAAAGUGGGCUGCCAUGUGGAUGUAGGAAUCAAACCUGGAUCUUUUGAAAAAGCAGACAGUGCUUUUAACCACUGGAUCAUUCUCUAGCUAAAAAAUAAAUAAAACCAACAG